GUAUGUUUCUCAGAAACGCAAUUUUCUCACAAUGUCGGAAUGCAGCGCUAGCUCGCAUUUAACUGCACCCUGACAUUGUGAAAACACACGUUGCCGCAACAUGGCGAAGCGGAACUAUGGCGAGACUUAAUCAAAGCUCCGCGUGUAGCGUUGUCACAACACUCUGGACAGGGUCGCAUUCAAAAGCGAUCCACACAAUCCCAUGCAGAUCGUCUCCCAGCCUUGUUCCCUAUGCUGCCGUGGAUAGAAUCCAGGGUCCGCUAAACCCUGGUCAGGAUAAGCAGCAAGAAGCAGAUGAAUGGACACACCCCAGCAUUGUUCUAUAUUUACUUUAAUAUUUGGCUGGAUAUUACCUGCAUUGUACCAUUUACUUAUUGUUUUAAAUAUUUCCUGCCAUUCCACAGAAAUAUUGAAAAUGUCAAAUAAUUGCGUCAGCCAGUGAUGUUAUGCAUACCGUAAAUUGAAAACAGUCGUGCGUUCAUAGAGAAACAAGAAAAAAUAUCAGAUACCUUUUCAUAAAACAAUUCUGGCAUUCGUGUUUUCUAUACUGGAGCAUUUUGUGAAAUAUGCAGUGCGAAAUUUUGAGUCAUAUUAGUCAAACCUUUAAUAAAAAGAUCUCACAUUU
This is a non-coding RNA of Paramormyrops kingsleyae, 625 nucleotides long. Lineage: Eukaryota; Metazoa; Chordata; Actinopteri; Osteoglossiformes; Mormyridae. The record is from RefSeq and is a predicted model, not a curated record.